UACGAAGGGGGCUAGCGUUGCUCGGAAUCACUGGGCGUAAAGGGCGCGUAGGCGGCCAUUCAAGUCAGGGGUGAAAGCCUGUGGCUCAACCACAGAAUUGCCUUUGAUACUGUUUGGCUAGAGACCGGAAGAGGUAAGUGGAACUGCGAGUGUAGAGGUGAAAUUCGUAGAUAUUCGCAAGAACACCAGUGGCGAAGGCGGCUUACUGGUCCGGUUCUGACGCUGAGGCGCGGAAGCGUGGGGAGCAAACAGG
RNAcentral lists this ribosomal RNA (253 nucleotides) under uncultured bacterium. Its description in RNAcentral is "partial 16S ribosomal RNA". It matches the Rfam family "Bacterial small subunit ribosomal RNA", at positions 524 to 776 of the family's 1533-position model. The record is from RNAcentral.